UUCCCGAUGCAAUUGUGUUCGACUCUUAUCAGCUGUAUGGAACACCCAGCUAUUGGGUGCAAAAGCUUUUUGUUGAGUCUAGUGGAGCAACAUUUCUUCCCUCAACACUCAACACAAAUUCAUCUAAUCAACUAAUUGCAUCUGCAAUUACUUGGAAAAAUUCUACAAAUAACAAAAAUUACAUAAGAAUAAAGGUAGUUAACUUCGGAACAGCCA
Molecule: small RNA, 216 nt
Filed under: Vigna angularis var. angularis
Lineage: Eukaryota; Viridiplantae; Streptophyta; Magnoliopsida; Fabales; Fabaceae
Description: Non-protein coding transcript
Source: RNAcentral